RNAcentral lists this transfer RNA (74 nucleotides) under Candidatus Sungbacteria bacterium RIFCSPHIGHO2_01_FULL_54_26. Its description in RNAcentral is "tRNA-Ile". It matches the Rfam family "tRNA". From Rfam's summary of the family: Transfer RNA (tRNA) molecules are approximately 80 nucleotides in length. The record is from RNAcentral. RNAcentral also lists the same sequence under 3 other names. Lineage: Bacteria; Candidatus Sungiibacteriota.
GGGCGUGUAGCUCAGUCGGUUAGAGCACGGCUCUUAUAAAGCCGGGGUCCUUGGUUCGAAUCCAAGCACGCCCA